This 74-nucleotide transfer RNA is filed under the name Pseudomonadota bacterium. Its description in RNAcentral is "tRNA-Arg". It matches the Rfam family "tRNA". From Rfam's summary of the family: Transfer RNA (tRNA) molecules are approximately 80 nucleotides in length. Lineage: Bacteria; Pseudomonadati; Pseudomonadota. The record is from RNAcentral.
GGCCCCGUAGCUCAACUGGAUAGAGCAUCGGCCUUCUAAGCCGACGGUUUCCCGUUCAAGUCGGGACGGGGUCG